ACCAACUCAUUCUCCUAAACCACCAAAGUAUACUCCUAAGCCAACACCUUGUCCACCACCAUCAUCAACACCAAAACCACCACAUGUUCCAAAACCACCUCAUUACCCUAAACCACCAAUAGUUCAUCCACCUCAUGUUCCAAAACCACCAGUUGUGAAACCACCAAUAGUUCAUCCACCUUAUGUUCCAAAACCACCGGUGCAUCCACCUUAUGUGCCAAAACCACCAGUGCAUCCACCUUAUGUCCCAAAACCACCAGCUGUGAAGCCACCUUAUGUUCCUAAACCACCAGUUGUCCCAGUAACACCACCAUAUGUUCCUAAACCACCCGUUGUGAAACCAC
Molecule: long non-coding RNA, 344 nt
Filed under: Trifolium pratense (red clover)
Lineage: Eukaryota; Viridiplantae; Streptophyta; Magnoliopsida; Fabales; Fabaceae
Description: long non-coding RNA (TPRA_LNC000915)
Source: RNAcentral